CGGGCGUUAAGUUGCAGGGUAUAGACCCGAAACCCGGUGAUCUAGCCAUGGGCAGGUUGAAGGUUGGGUAACACUAACUGGAGGACCGAACCGACUAAUGUUGAAAAAUUAGCGGAUGACCUGUGGCUGGGGGUGAAAGGCCAAUCAAACCGGGAGAUAGCUGGUUCUCCCCGAAAGCUAUUUAGGUAGCGCCUCGUGAAUUCAUCUCCGGGGGUAGAGCACUGUUUCGGCUAGGGGGCCAUCCCGGCUUACCAACCCGAUGCAAACUGCGAAUACCGGAGAAUGUUAUCACGGGAGACACACGGCGGGUGCUAACGUCCGUCGUGAAGAGGGAAACAACCCAGACCGCCAGCUAAGGUCCCAAAGUCAUGGUUAAGUGGGAAACGAUGUGGGAAGGCCCAGACAGCCAGGAUGUUGGCUUAGAAGCAGCCAUCAUUUAAAGAAAGCGUAAUAGCUCACUGGUCGAGUCGGCCUGCGCGGAAGAUGUAACGGGGCUAAACCAUGCACCGAAGCUGCGGCAGCGACACUGUGUGUUGUUGGGUAGGGGAGC
This 550-nucleotide ribosomal RNA is filed under the name Salmonella enterica subsp. enterica serovar Enteritidis. RNAcentral describes it as "partial 23S ribosomal RNA". It matches the Rfam family "Bacterial large subunit ribosomal RNA", at positions 689 to 1237 of the family's 2925-position model. Lineage: Bacteria; Pseudomonadati; Pseudomonadota; Gammaproteobacteria; Enterobacterales; Enterobacteriaceae. The record is from RNAcentral.